This is a long non-coding RNA of Gorilla gorilla gorilla (western lowland gorilla), 475 nucleotides long. RefSeq lists it as uncharacterized. Lineage: Eukaryota; Metazoa; Chordata; Mammalia; Primates; Hominidae. The transcript is spliced from 2 exons. The record is from RefSeq and is a predicted model, not a curated record.
AUCUCUGAUGGGACCAUAGAUAUGUCACAAUGACUUCUGCAGGCAGGGCCCAGGCCAAAGAAUCAGCCAAUUAGUUCAGCAAACUUGGAUUCAAUCAAACAAUUAUCUAAAUAGCGACUGCAGAUUCAUCAAGUCAGGCCCAAAACAGUGGACGUGACAGCACAUUCCUACACUGAGAAGGCAUUGUGAAGACCCUGAUUCCAUAGCUGUGCAGCUGCAAGGUCACUAGACAGAUAAACUCAAGUCGCAAAACAUGGUUUUCCUUGAAAAGUAAGAAAUGAUGUAAUGCAUGUCUCAACAAAAUAACUGUCUUUGUUUCUCACUUCUGUAGUAUGAUUCCUCCUGCACAGAUCUCCCCCCACCCACAAAAUGCCUAAAAGGUAACUUAACUCUUUGUUGAGGGCUCAGUCCUUUGGAUGUUAAUCUGACCGGGCCGAUGAACCAAAGUAAUUAAUAAAUAUCCUCCUGAACCUCA